CAGUAGCCGCGGUAAAACGUAGGGUGCAAGCGUUAAUCGGAAUUACUGGGCGUAAAGCGUGCGCAGGCGGUUAUAUAAGUCAGAUGUGAAAUCCCCAAGCUUAACUUGGGACGUGCUUUUGAAACUGGGUGACUAGAGUGUGUCAGAGGGAGGUAGAAUUCCACAUGUAGAGGUGGAAUGCGUAGAGAUGUGGAGGAAUACCGAUGGCGAAGGCAGCCUCCUGGGAUAACACUGACGUUGAGGCUCGAAAGCGUGGGGAGCAAACAGGAUUAGAUACCCGCGUAGUCCCUGUCUCUUAUAC
RNAcentral lists this ribosomal RNA (301 nucleotides) under uncultured bacterium. RNAcentral describes it as "partial 16S ribosomal RNA". It matches the Rfam family "Bacterial small subunit ribosomal RNA", at positions 509 to 807 of the family's 1533-position model. The record is from RNAcentral.